AAGCGUGACGGCGCGUCAGUCUCCAGCGUGGUCUAAAUAUAGAGCUGUCAGUUUGUAAAACAAGUCCACGGGGGAGGGAGAUCCUUAUUUCCUGAAGGUCGUUAACUGACAACAGUGACAGGGUGAAGAAUGGACGCUGACAUCACUGGUCUCCGACCGCCAAGCAUCUGUGGCAUACCACAUUAUCAGUCAGCCAAAAGUGCGAUGCGCCUGGUGUUUUACAUCGUGCACUGUGUGUGCAUUACUUUUUUCCUCCUGCUUCAAAGAUACUGCAAAUGUGGUAAACAUGGUGCACAUUUCACCUCCUGGCUGUGGGCGAUAUCGGCAACCAAUUCGAAUACGGAAGACGACCCUCGCGACCAAAAGAUCCCGUAAGCUCUCGUUUCCGCAGGGCGAGCGAUUGGGGACUGGAAAAGUAAAGAAACCCGUCCUGUGUGGUGCAUGUCCGACCUUUGGAUCAGACACUGGCGACCACGAUUCACCUCAGGGAGGCGGCGUGCGGAGAAGCCAGCUGGAGCAUGACUACAGGGGACCACAACUCGGACUGAUUGAGGCUUUAACGCCGCACUACACGGCUGUUAAAAAACCCACUGCUGCUUCAGAGAGAUUGCGCCUGUUGCAGCAGAUUCCCCAUAAACCAAAUGAGGCUUCAGUCCACUCACACGGUGCUGUUAUGAGAUGGGAGGUUCUGACAUUUCAGGGCUCUCAGGGAACAGGGAUGAAACACUUUGAUCCACAAACACUGUUUAGAGGUUUGGACCAGUUUCCCACAACUUCGAGGCAGCCAUUGGUUUCCAUUAACUGUAGUACUCAACAGAUAGUCUUCAGCUUUCUUCAAAGUGGGCACAAAUGUGAAUGAAGAUCAACAAGCUGCGUGCUAUUUGAUCUUCUUUUGUUUUGUGCACCAAAUGGGCAAAGGCCUGAACAUUAUGGUCACCAUUGAUGCACCUGUGUGUUUACAUGAGGACAAACAGCAGAAAAAAGCUUUUUACUGCCAUCACCUUUGU
This is a long non-coding RNA of Cyclopterus lumpus (lumpfish), 1007 nucleotides long. RefSeq lists it as uncharacterized. The transcript has 3 exons. The record is from RefSeq and is a predicted model, not a curated record. Lineage: Eukaryota; Metazoa; Chordata; Actinopteri; Perciformes; Cyclopteridae.